RNAcentral lists this ribosomal RNA (479 nucleotides) under uncultured bacterium. Its description in RNAcentral is "partial 16S ribosomal RNA". It matches the Rfam family "Bacterial small subunit ribosomal RNA", at positions 28 to 507 of the family's 1533-position model. The record is from RNAcentral.
GAUGAACGCUGGCGGCGUGCUUAACACAUGCAAGUCGAACGAAGCACUUAAGAUUGAUUCUUCGGAUGACGUCUUUUGUGACUUAGUGGCGGACGGGUGAGUAACGCGUGGGUAACCUGCCUCACACAGGGGGAUAACAGUUAGAAAUGACUGCUAAUACCGCAUAACCCGAUAGGAUCGCAUGAUCCAGACGGAAAAGAUUUAUCGGUGUGAGAUGGACCCGCGUCUGAUUAGCUAGUUGGUGAGGUAACGGCCCACCAAGGCGACGAUCAGUAGCCGGCCUGAGAGGGUGACCGGCCACAUUGGGACUGAGACACAGCCCAAACUCCUACGGGAGGCAGCAGUGGGGAAUAUUGCACAAGGGGGGAAACCCUGAUGCAGCGACGCGGCGUGAGUGAAGAAGUAUUUCGGUAUGUAAAGCUCUAUCAGCAGAGAAGAAAAUGACGGUACCUGACUAAGAAGCCCCGGCUAACUACGUG